This is a long non-coding RNA of Manduca sexta (tobacco hornworm), 816 nucleotides long. RefSeq lists it as uncharacterized. Lineage: Eukaryota; Metazoa; Arthropoda; Insecta; Lepidoptera; Sphingidae. The record is from RefSeq and is a predicted model, not a curated record. The transcript has 2 exons.
ACAUACUGCCAGUCAAUCAUAUUUUUAAAGUGCAAAUUGCAAGAGUCGUCUGUAAAAUAUUGUUAAAAUGAAGUUAACAAGUUUAUUUAUUUUUGUUAUUGUCGCGUUGUCGCUAUUAUUUUCGAGUACCGACGCAGCACCGGGUAAAAUUCCCGUGAAGGCUAUAAAGCAGGCUGGCAAGGUCAUUGGAAAAGGUCUACGAGCAAUAAAUAUUGCUGGCACCACACACGAUGUUGUUAGUUUCUUCAGGCCUAAGAAGAAGAAGCACUAGACGUGUAAUGUUUAAACGAUAACUUUACAAAUUGAUAUUAUAUAGUAAUUACUUAAUAGUGUUUUGUAAUGGUAUUUAUAUUAUGUACGAAAAUUGCAACUAAUUUUAUGAUGUUUUGACUAAGUUAUGCCUGCCGUUCUCCCUUCGGAAUCUUCUGUGAAUUCUCAGUUAAACAAUGUAAAAUAAUUACCUUUUGCAUAAAAUAUUCAACAAGACAUGGAAUAUUAUUUUAACGAAACUGCUUUCUUUAACCUUUGUCCUCAUUUCAAAAUAACUUUUGUAUUCACAUCAAAGUUAAUGGUCCCGAACUUUAUACAGUGCAUCGUUUAUUAUUCAUCUUUCAAUAUAGUAUGACAUAUUGUAAUGCAUAAUGAUGGAUGGUUUGCUAAUUAUUUGAAUUUCGCAUUAUAGGCUGUGUUAGAAUAUAAUAAAAAAGUAAAAAAUAUGUGGCGGGUAAAAUGAUACCUCAUAUUGUAUUAUCGUUAUUUUAAACUUUAAUAAUAAAGCAUUUGUAAUUACGGAAUAAAGCAUUUUAUUAUAUCUUA